AAACCUUUGAGAACUGCUGCUUUAACCUGUAUCCUCUUUUUUUUUUUUUUUUUUAAAUAUUCUCACUAGGACCACGCUGAAAUUCGUACAACAUGAAAUACUGUCAUCCCUCACAUUGUAUUGAGCAGCUGGGAAUUUAUACGAAGCUGGGAAGGAACAGGGGAGGCACAGAAGGUUGUCAAGGUGACAGGCUCAUGAGAGACAGAAGGCAGCAUCUUCGUUGUAAGGAAGUAGAACAGCAUUUGCUGAGUGAGUUGCUUCUCUGAGAUAGAAUGUGACCAUAGUAUUCACCUGUGAGUCCUGUGCAAAUGUGCCCUGGAGCCAGUUUGCAGCAGCAAGUAAUCUAUCUGCAGUUUCACUUUCUGAGAUUUCCUGCAGCCAACUGGUAAACCGCAGUUGGACAUCAGAUGAUCCUUCGGACGUAUAGUAGCCUAACUUUACGUUGCAAUGCCUUCAUCAUUUGCAUCGCCUCAUUUCAUCAUCUAGGAAUUUUAUUCUCUUGCUUCAUCGUAAGAAAGGUGAGUACAAUAAGAUAUUUUUUAAAAGAUUUUUUAUUUAUUUAUUCAUGAGAGAUACAGAGAGAGAGGCAAAGAC
This 594-nucleotide long non-coding RNA is filed under the name Vulpes vulpes (red fox). Its description in RNAcentral is "lncRNA (ENSVVUG00000020014.1)". Lineage: Eukaryota; Metazoa; Chordata; Mammalia; Carnivora; Canidae. The record is from RNAcentral.